Molecule: ribosomal RNA, 253 nt
Filed under: uncultured bacterium
Lineage: Bacteria
Description: partial 16S ribosomal RNA
Rfam family: Bacterial small subunit ribosomal RNA
Source: RNAcentral
UACGUAGGGUGCGAGCGUUAAUCGGAAUUACUGGGCGUAAAGCGUGCGCAGGCGGUCUGUUAAGACCGGUGUGAAAUCCCCGGGCUUAACCUGGGAAUGGCAUUUGGGACUGCAAGGCUGGAGUUUGGCAGAGGAGACUGGAAUUCCUGGUGUAGCAGUGAAGUGCGUAGAUAUCAGGAGGAACACCGAUGGCGAAGGCAGGUCUCUGGGCUAUAACUGACGCUCAUGCACGAAAGCGUGGGGAGCAAACAGG